AUUGACUCUCACAGAGACUCUCCUGCCUUCUGCGCCUCUCUAAAAACAACAUUCCCAACACUCCACUUAAAAACUCCCCACACACCCAGGGGAGGGGCCUGGUUGCCGUGGUAUUUAGCCCAGCCCAUCAGAGUAAUACUGUCAGACAGGACAGGAAGUGCAUGGACUCCACUGGACUGGUCUGGGGAUGAAGUAAGAAGAACUUCUGCAGACAAGGAAUGUCCGGAAUUCCUUAGUCCUAAGGGUCCUGUCCUCCACAUGACCUUUAGAGGUGCAAGGCAUCGUGUGUAGAACCCAUCGUCCUCCGUUAUAUCUGCACCGUCAUCCUCCGUCCCUCCAUCCCAUCAUCCAGCAGAAUGCAGUGUCUCUAUGGGGACGGAGA
Long non-coding RNA from Cyprinus carpio (common carp), 382 nucleotides. RefSeq lists it as uncharacterized. NCBI's taxonomy places the organism in Eukaryota, Metazoa, Chordata, Actinopteri, Cypriniformes, Cyprinidae. The record is from RefSeq and is a predicted model, not a curated record.